This 1444-nucleotide long non-coding RNA is filed under the name Hordeum vulgare. Its description in RNAcentral is "long non-coding RNA (HVUL_LNC002615)". The record is from RNAcentral. Lineage: Eukaryota; Viridiplantae; Streptophyta; Magnoliopsida; Poales; Poaceae.
UGCCACAAGAGCUUGGUCCUUAUGUGUGGCAGUUCACCAUUUCAGCAGGAUGUAUAUACGGAAACUAAAGAGAAAGAAUGUUCAGAUAAAACAGUAAUUCAAAUAAUCCAUAGAAUCAAGAAUUUAUGUUGCCACCCCUGUAACAUGGGAAGAUCAUGGCAGUUUUCAAUUGUGGAUUUAUAAUAACAAUCUAGCAUCUAAUAUUCAGGAUGCUACAACAAACAAACUUAACAACUCAAUUUCAGAACAUUACUUGAUCUCAAAAACCAAACCACGCACAUCAACAAAGCUACCUGACGGUGAGAUAGCAUAGCCCAUAGCAAAGAUCAGGUAAAAACAGUAAUUCAGAUAGCUCAUAGCAAAGAUGCUACGGUUACCAGUCAAAAUGCCCAGUUAAACGGAACCUGUUAGAUAGCAUAGCAUAAGUACUGCAAGGGCACAGUAAACCUGGAUCAGGAUUUGAGGAUAUUAUAUAAAUGCGGUCUAUGGAUAUGGCCAGAUGAAAUAGUGGGUCUCAUCAUCAUCUUCUGCUUCUGGCAUCCCAUAAUCUUCUUGCAUCUCCAAGAACGGAAGUGGAAUGAUAUUCUCCUGGAAGCUAUAUGGUGUAAUGUGCACACGGCUUUCCUCACACUCACUGCAUUUCACGUGUCCCAGAAACUUACCAUCAAUGUCACAGCGCACAAUAUGCCCAGCAUCAAGCUCGAUGAGCAACUCGUGCUUGCCGAGCACAGCAAUCUUGCGUAAACAUCUCACCCUUAGAUCAGGUGGUAGGGACGCCUUCAGCCCAGAUAGGUCAAUCCGAUACUUGAAGGCCCAGACCUCAGCCUCAUAGUCCUGCAUCAUGUGGAUAUCUACAACAAUGCCAUCGGAACUGGUGCACAUAGCAACCACACUGUCAAUCUCCAACAACAAUGUCCAAAAGCUCAUUCCGGUGGGACGGCUCAUCCACCUAAACGUCUCAUCAGCAGUGUUGAACAGUAGAAUUUUGCUGGUGUCAGAGUGGUACCGUUCUUUUAGAUCCCAAUGCAGGCUGCCACGGUGGAGAAUAGAUACAUUAGACGAACAGGUCAGUCCAUCUAGUAGGUCUUGUUCCAUAGGUGGGUGUCCAUCCAGUAGGUCUUGUUCCAUAGGUGGUUGUCCUAUGGAACUAGGCUCAUCAGAUCCCACCGAGAGGACGUAGAAAUAAGUCGUGAAAGCGAAACCGUUCUCAUUCCUUGUGCAAAUUGAGUAGAGCACACGGUAUUCUCUGCAGAGGCAAUGCUGGUAGAAUCCUGCUAUGCGAAUGCUUGUAACUGAAGCACGACAUUUUGUGUUGGAAUUAACCACGAGUCCUAGUCCGGCUUGGACUUGGAACCAUCACCAUGUAGGUAUAGGAUUAGUAGUUGUCUUGGUUAGCUACUAUAUAUACGUACAAGUACCCCUGUAAUAUUGGAUCAGAUCAAAG